AUGAUUAGAAGUGAAUUAUCCCAUAACGAAGUACCUGCGAUGAGGAGCUGUGAGCAGAUGAUCUCACAGGAUCCCUUUUAUCCUACCUUUCCAGGAAAACAGAGGCUGAUUCAAAAUGAUAAGUUUUUUAGAAGUAAGUGGACGUAAAAAAAUUUCCAUCACCUUCUGCCUACUGAAGAGCACCAUUAUCAAGUGGCUGCCUAGCUCACAGAAACAAUGUGUGGUAACCACAUGAUCCACAGAAGACAAAAGAGCUAGACACAAGGAAGGGAUGGCAAGAGUCAAAGGUAUGUGCAAAAGUCAGGCAAAAUAUCUGCAAGAUGUUGCCUCUUUCCAGCCUAAGUACUUUUCAGGACAGGAUUAAUACAUAUCCAAAACCACUACCCAAAGCAAAGUGACGGUGGUGGCCUUUUCAUGAAGGAUAUUAGAAAGCAUUCAGUUUCAAAAAAUAUAUUAAUAAUUGUUUGCUUGCAAUUCCAAAUCAAUGUUGAAGAGAACCAGAAAGGUAUUGUCACCGAUGGAUUGCGUUUCAUCUUUUUAAUCAUUGAUAUUAAAUGAAACAGAUCUUUUGCAUUUUGUGGACAGUACAAUUUAUGCCAUGGGGAAAGCGAUGGCAAAUAUUAGCAAAAGAAAGAUUUUUAGAGCCUGCUUCCCUUGCAAUAGAUUAAAAGGUUACCCUAAAUUUCCAUGGGACUAGUGUUAGGCAAGAGUGCCAGAUAAAUAGAGCUCAUAAAGCAAGGAAGAUUAAAUAAUGUAAAAUCUAUUAUAGAGGGAAUUCCAAAUACGGAAAAAGGAAUUAUUCAUUUUCCUGGCCACUGGAAAGAAUAUAAACAAGCUCAAAUUGUAACUGCGUUUCCUCUGAGAACAUUAUGGAGCACGGCAGACGUUGCACAAGGGUAUUAUUCAGGCUUACUGUAUCACUGUGCAGUAUGAUCUGCCUGACGACUGCACACAUGGAUCAGCUGAGGCUGCAACACUGCUGAGCAAGACAGAUGGGAAAAUGACAUUGAGAAGGCAACACUCGUGCUGCAUAACAAAUCCAAACUUCUCCUUCCAGAACAUGCUGAACUCUCCUAGGAGUAAAACAAAACAAAACGAAAAGCAGAGACCUGAAGCCGGUUUCAUGUGUGUCAUCCCACAGCCAUGUGCACAUGGGUAUGAAGAGGAGAUCCUUUUGUAAGAAAAGGGAUCAAAUAGAAGAUGGACAUCUCUAACUGACCAUCUAAGACUAAAAGCUUAAAAUUUUAAAUCCAACUAUUGAAUUUUCUCAAGUUUUCUCACUGACUAUGCACUUUCCUCCUGCUCCUUUCCCCAGAAUUAGAGACCUCACAUUUCUCUCCUCGGUCAAAGCUUUUUUCCCACCAUCCUGUGUAACAGCUCAUGGCUGGCAUUACCCUUUUCCAGGACCUCUGGCAGCUGCCGUUACCGUAUUUGCCUU
This is a long non-coding RNA of Oxyura jamaicensis (ruddy duck), 1438 nucleotides long. RefSeq lists it as uncharacterized. The transcript has 3 exons. The record is from RefSeq and is a predicted model, not a curated record. Lineage: Eukaryota; Metazoa; Chordata; Aves; Anseriformes; Anatidae.